CUCUGGAGCUUUUGGCCGACAAGUGUGAACAGGACUCUGGCGUCCUUAAGGCUUGGGCGACGCUCCGGAGGCGAGCGGGCUCAGGCGAGAGGCACUACCCCUUCGCAGCUUGGGUUGUGAACAUAUUGCAUCCUGGAAAGAAGGCACAUUCUACCCUGGCUGGAGCUGACCUGGAGGUGCAGCCCUUUCUCCCCAUUUGGAGCUGCCUAUUAUCAUGGAAAGAUUCACAAAGAUUUGUUGCAGAAACCAGAAUCGCCAGCCCUUUGAAGAUCCCCAACCCUUUUGCACACCUGCAGGCUUUGCAGACCUCCAGCCUGCUCACCUGUUAACUGCCUAUCUGGCACCCCCUCUGGCUAUUUCCCCAUGUAACCCUAACCCUUGCAUAGCGCUAAGCCCUAUGAAGACCCCUAGUCCUUUUGCAUAUCUGCAAACUGCUCUUUUGCUUUUGUGCUUUUGCUAUGUACGCAACUGGCUUAUGGUGGGGUGCAGAGCAGAUUUCUGUGGCUGACCUGCUGCUCUCUCAUACUGCGGGCAGUACUGGAAUAAAUGCUCAUCUAUGAUUCA
Long non-coding RNA from Myotis myotis, 564 nucleotides. RefSeq lists it as uncharacterized. The record is from RefSeq and is a predicted model, not a curated record. The transcript is spliced from 2 exons. NCBI's taxonomy places the organism in Eukaryota, Metazoa, Chordata, Mammalia, Chiroptera, Vespertilionidae.